RNAcentral lists this ribosomal RNA (731 nucleotides) under uncultured Rhizophagus. Its description in RNAcentral is "SSU rRNA". It matches the Rfam family "Eukaryotic small subunit ribosomal RNA", at positions 365 to 1097 of the family's 1831-position model. Lineage: Eukaryota; Fungi; Glomeromycota; Glomeromycetes; Glomerales; Glomeraceae. The record is from RNAcentral.
GGGUGUUAGGGCACGACACCGGAGAGGGAGCCUGAGAAACGGCUACCACAUCCAAGGAUGGCAGCAGGCGCGCAAAUUACCCAAUCCCGACACGGGGAGGUAGUGACAAUAAAUAACAAUACGGGGUUCUUUAGGAUCUCGUAAUUGGAAUGAGUACAAUUUAAAUCUCUUAACGAGGAACAAUUGGAGGGCAAGUCUGGUGCCAGCAGCCGCGGUAAUUCCAGCUCCAAUAGCGUAUAUUAAAGUUGUUGCAGUUAAAAAGCUCGUAGUUGAAUUUCGGGGUUAGUAGGUUGGUCAUGCCUCUGGUAUGUACUGGUCUCACUGAUUCCUCCUUCCUGAUGAGCCGUAAUGCCAUUAAUUUGGUGUUGCGGGGAAUUUGGACUGUUACUUUGAAAAAAUUAGAGUGUUUAAAGCAAGCUAACGCUUGAAUACAUUAGCAUGGAAUAAUGAAAUAGGACGUUCGAUCCUAUUUUGUUGGUUUCUAGGAUUGACGUAAUGAUUAAUAGGGAUAGUUGGGGGCAUUAGUAUUCAAUUGUCAGAGGUGAAAUUCUUGGAUUUAUUGAAGACUAACUACUGCGAAAGCAUUUGCCAAGGAUGUUUUCAUUAAUCAAGAACGAAAGUUAGGGGAUCGAAGACGAUCAGAUAUCGUCGUAGUCUUAACCAUAAACUAUGCCGACUAGGGAUCGGAUGAUGUUAAUUUUUUAAUGACUCAUUCGGCGCCUACGGGAACA